Molecule: ribosomal RNA, 248 nt
Filed under: uncultured bacterium
Lineage: Bacteria
Description: partial 16S ribosomal RNA
Rfam family: Bacterial small subunit ribosomal RNA
Source: RNAcentral
CCGAUGGCGACCGGCGCACGGGUGAGUAACACGUAUCCAACCUGCCGUCUACUCUUGGACAGCCUUCUGAAAGAAAGAUUAAUACCCGAUGGCAUAGUUCUUCCGCAUGGUAGAACUAUUAAAGAAUUUCGGUCAUCGAUGGGGAUGCGUUCCAUUAGGUUGUUGGCGGGGUAACGGCCCACCAAGCCUUCGAUGGAUAGGGGUUCUGAGAGGAAGGUCCCCCACAUUGGAACUGAGACACGGUCCAA